RNAcentral lists this ribosomal RNA (427 nucleotides) under Clostridioides difficile. RNAcentral describes it as "bacterial SSU rRNA". It matches the Rfam family "Bacterial small subunit ribosomal RNA", at positions 711 to 1138 of the family's 1533-position model. The record is from RNAcentral. Lineage: Bacteria; Bacillati; Bacillota; Clostridia; Peptostreptococcales; Peptostreptococcaceae.
AGUUGCGAAGGCGGCUCUCUGGACUGUAACUGACGCUGAGGCACGAAAGCGUGGGGAGCAAACAGGAUUAGAUACCCUGGUAGUCCACGCUGUAAACGAUGAGUACUAGGUGUCGGGGGUUACCCCCCUCGGUGCCGCAGCUAACGCAUUAAGUACUCCGCCUGGGAAGUACGCUCGCAAGAGUGAAACGCAAAGGAAUUGACGGGGACCCGCACAAGUAGCGGAGCAUGUGGUUUAAUUCGAAGCAACGCGAAGAACCUUACCUAAGCUUGACAUCCCAAUGACAUCUCCUUAAUCGGAGAGUUCCCUUCGGGGACAUUGGUGACAGGUGGUGCAUGGUUGUCGUCAGCUCGUGUCGUGAGAUGUUGGGUUAAGUCCCGCAACGAGCGCAACCCUUGUCUUUAGUUGCCAUCAUUAAGUUGGGCAC